AGAGUUUGCUUUUGGCUCAGGAUGAACGCUGGCGGCGUGCUUAACACAUGCAAGUCGAACGAAACACCUUAUUUGAUUUUCUUCGGAACUGAAGAUUUGGUGAUUGAGUGGCGGACGGGUGAGUAACGCGUGGGUAACCUGCCCUGUACAGGGGGAUAACAGUCAGAAAUGACUGCUAAUACCGCAUAAGACCACAGCACCGCAUGGUGCAGGGGUAAAAACUCCGGUGGUACAGGAUGGACCCGCGUCUGAUUAGCUGGUUGGUGAGGUAACGGCUCACCAAGGCGACGAUCAGUAGCCGGCCUGAGAGGGCGGACGGCCACAUUGGGACUGAGACACGGCCCAAACUCCUACGGGAGGCAGCAGUGGGGAAUAUUGCACAAUGGGGGAAACCCUGAUGCAGCGACGCCGCGUGAAGGAUGAAGUAUUUCGGUAUGUAAACUUCUAUCAGCAGGGAAGAAAAUGACGGUACCUGACUAAGAAGCCCCGGCUAACUACGUGCCAGCAGCCGCGGUAAUACGUAGGUGGCAAGCGUUAUCCGGAAUUACUGGGUGUAAAGGGAGCGCAGGCGGGAUAGCAAGUCAGCUGUGAAAACUAUGGGCUCAACCCAUAAACUGCAGUUGAAACUGUUAUUCUUGAGUGGAGUAGAGGCAAGCGGAAUUCCGAGUGUAGCGGUGAAAUGCGUAGAUAUUCGGAGGAACACCAGUGGCGAAGGCGGCUUGCUGGGCUCUAACUGACGCUGAGGCUCGAAAGUGUGGGGAGCAAACAGGAUUAGAUACCCUGGUAGUCCACACUGUAAACGAUGAUUGCUAGGUGUGGGGGGUCUGACCCCCUCCGUGCCGGAGUUAACGCAAUAAGCAAUCCACCUGGGGAGUACGGCCGCAAGGUUGAAACUCAAAGGAAUUGACGGGGACCCGCACAAGCAGUGGAUUAUGUGGUUUAAUUCGAAGCAACGCGAAGAACCUUACCAGGUCUUGACAUCCGACUAACGAGAUAGAGAUAUGUCAGGUGCCCUUCGGGGAAAGUCGAGACAGGUGGUGCAUGGUUGUCGUCAGCUCGUGUCGUGAGAUGUUGGGUUAAGUCCCGCAACGAGCGCAACCCUUAUCCUCAGUAGCCAGCAGGUCAAGCUGGGCACUCUGUGGAGACUGCCAGGGAUAACCUGGAGGAAGGUGGGGAUGACGUCAAAUCAUCAUGCCCCUUAUGAUCUGGGCUACACACGUGCUACAAUGGCGUAAACAAAGGGAGGCAAAGCCGCGAGGUGGAGCAAAUCCCAAAAAUAACGUCUCAGUUCGGACUGCAGUCUGCAACUCGACUGCACGAAGCUGGAAUCGCUAGUAAUCGCGAAUCAGAAUGUCGCGGUGAAUAAAUUCCCGGGUCUUGCAC
This 1383-nucleotide ribosomal RNA is filed under the name uncultured bacterium. RNAcentral's name for it is "16S ribosomal RNA". It matches the Rfam family "Bacterial small subunit ribosomal RNA", at positions 8 to 1386 of the family's 1533-position model. The record is from RNAcentral.